This 25-nucleotide unclassified non-coding RNA is filed under the name Mus musculus (house mouse). RNAcentral's name for it is "oocyte_clustered_small_RNA10771". Lineage: Eukaryota; Metazoa; Chordata; Mammalia; Rodentia; Muridae. The record is from RNAcentral.
UGGGCAUCCACUCGCAGGUGAAGGA